Megalobrama amblycephala (Wuchang bream) is the source of this 2146-nucleotide long non-coding RNA. RefSeq lists it as uncharacterized. Lineage: Eukaryota; Metazoa; Chordata; Actinopteri; Cypriniformes; Xenocyprididae. The record is from RefSeq and is a predicted model, not a curated record. The transcript is spliced from 3 exons.
ACCUCGCGCUAGUCAAAUGAAGUAAGCCUUAAAUAUGUCUUUACUCACACACUUUCUUCGUCAUUUUGGUCGAACAAAUAGAUGAAUAAAUCAGAGCUAACGUGAAAAAGACAAAUAAAAGAACUGACAAACAUUACUUUAAAAACCUAAACUCAAUAAUUGUAAUGCGAGGAUCCCCUGCGCCUCGACUCGGGCGUCUCUCCCGCUCCCCACGCACUUCCUGCCCGCAGCAUUUCAAAUAGCACGCGCUACAUACACGGUAAAGGAGACGUUUCUUUUAAAAAUUAUUUAGAGACAUAUUUACAUGGUCCAAACUGAAUACAUUUCUAUAGAAUAAAACGAGUAAAUGCAACAUCUUGUAUAGAAUAGAAAUAUUCAAUUAGCGCUAACCUUUAUAACGUUACUGCAGGCCGCGCAAAUUCAAAAAUUCGGUUAGUUACGAUUUCGUUAGUAUUCAUGUUCACAAACAACGCUAAUUAACUCAUAAACCGCUAAAAUACAUGUUCAACCUUUGCAUUAUCGAGUAUAUUAAUUAAAACAUUUCCAACCUACCUUAUUUCAUCCGAGUCCAGGGGAAAGAAAAUGGCGGCCGAGCAGAAAACUCCAGAAAGUCUCGUGAGUCAUGACGUCAGAAAAAAAAAACCGUCUUUCACGGGGUCCUUAAAGAGAAAUUAUCCUUUGGCUGAAAGUGAGAUAUUUGAGUAGUUGAGUGUACAAUAUUGAGAGCAAUUCGCAGAAAGACGAAGUAAUUAGACUCAAAUAGUUAUAGCAAUCCAACUUACACCCAUAUUCACUUACAGUGUAGAGGGGCUUGGGGACAAAAAGGUUGAGAACCAGGUUAUGUUUAGAAAAUACACUGUAAUUUAAUGUUGUUUUUAAUCCUUUCCCCAACUAAACUAAGAGAAUAAGAGAGUUAGAGAACCUUUAAAGAACUAUACAGAGGCUUAACAGGUUCUUUGUAUGGCAGUGGUGCUAUAUAGCACCUUAACCACAGCAAGGAACCGCUGAAGAACCACUGAAGUACCGCUGAAGAACCAUACAGGUGCUUUACUGGUUCUUUAUAAGGUAGCGGUGCUAUAUAGCACCUUAACCACCCCAAAGAACCGCUGAAGAACCGCUGAAGAACCAUUUUUUUUUAGAGUGUACUGUAGAAUCUGAGUACAGCAUAGUACUGUAGAUUUUGUCGUUUUCACAGCUUGUUAGGUCUACUGUAUUCUUAAUAGUUCCCAACUGUAUGGUCCCAAGCUGUGUAGAGUACGUUACUGUAUAUUUUCAAUGCAUUCUGGAAAAAAUAUUAGCCUACUGCACUAAUUGACUGUGAAAAACAACCACACACCUCCUCACGCAUGACAGGCUCAUCAUCAAGAUGAAAGCCCACAAGAGUAUGGUAGGUUAACUUUUUUCUCUUUUUUUUUCUCUCUAUGUUUUAUUCUGAUGUUAUUUGCAAGAUAUAAAGCUACAUUUUAGUUAAUAACUUAACAUAAAAAUAUGUGAUCAAGCGUUCAUUUUCUGGCCUUUUCCCUUUUCCUCCUGCAGCGUGGUGAAGAUGAAAGUCCGAGGAUGUUUGAGUUAAUAAAUAUAAACAUCGGAGCAGGUGAGCAUUUCCCAAUUAAGCCGCACUAACUAGAAUUUUCCUUCUGCAGCGGUGCUGGCAGACCGGCUGGACCAUCGCGAGAUGGCGGAGCCGUUGUGAAGACAAGAUUGUAGGCUACCAAGAUUGUACCAUUUUGUACCAAGAUUGUUUGCAAGCGGCGCCAGCGCUGGCAGACCGGCUGAACCAACGUGAGACAGGCGGGAAGAGUCGUUGUGAAGAGGAAAAGCAUACGAGAAAUUGACGGGCUGAACUAUCGUGAGACAGGCGGGAAGUCGCAAUAAAGAAGACCCUUUUCUUUAAAGCAUGUGGUUUUAAGAUGUAAGAUAUUCGUUGGUUAUUGUUGUAUACUAGCUUCUAAUUAAGUACUUUAACUCUUCAAACUUUUUUUUUUCUUUUUUUUUUUUUCAUCAUUUAUUUUCCACUAGUAAAAUGUGUUAAUGUGAUUUUAGUGGUAUGACUUUAAUUGUAUGUUGUUAAUUGAUGAAAUUAAUAUGCUGGUAAAUCUGUAUUGAAGUUCAGCUAUGAGAUGUAAAAGAUGAAACCUAAAUAAAG